RNAcentral lists this ribosomal RNA (666 nucleotides) under uncultured archaeon. RNAcentral describes it as "bacterial SSU rRNA". It matches the Rfam family "Archaeal small subunit ribosomal RNA", at positions 206 to 876 of the family's 1478-position model. The record is from RNAcentral.
GGGAUUGGUCUGCGGCCUAUCAGGUAGUAGUGGGUGUAGCGUACCUACUAGCCUACAACGGGUACGGGUUGUGAGAGCAAGAGCCCGGAGAUGGAUUCUGAGACACGAAUCCAGGCCCUACGGGGCGCAGCAGGCGCGAAAACUUUACAAUGCGGGAAACCGUGAUAAGGGAACUCCGAGUGUCCGUAAAUGCGGACUGACCGUAUGUUUAAAAAGCAUGCGAAGAAAGGGCCGGGCAAGACCGGUGCCAGCCGCCGCGGUAAUACCGGCGGCUCGAGUGGUGGCCACUAUUACUGGGCUUAAAGCGUUCGUAGCUGGGUUGUUAAGUCUCUUGGGAAAUCUACCGGCUUAACCGAUAGGCGUCCAAGGGAUACUGGCAUUCUAGGGACCGGGAGAGGUGAGGGGUACUUCAGGGGUAGGAGUGAAAUCUUGUAAUCCCUGCGAGACCACCUGUGGCGAAGGCGUCUUACCAGAACGGGUUCGACGGUGAGGGACGAAAGCUGGGGGCACGAACCGGAUUAGAUACCCGGGUAGUCCCAGCCGUAAACGAUGCUCGCUAGGUGUCAGGCAUGGCGCGACCGUGUCUGGUGCCGCAGGGAAGCCGUGAAGCGAGCCACCUGGGAAGUACGGCCGCAAGGCUGAAACUUAAAGGAAUUGGCGGGGGAG